RNAcentral lists this ribosomal RNA (428 nucleotides) under uncultured bacterium. RNAcentral describes it as "partial 16S ribosomal RNA". It matches the Rfam family "Bacterial small subunit ribosomal RNA", at positions 354 to 796 of the family's 1533-position model. The record is from RNAcentral.
GUGGGGAAUAUUGGGCAAUGGGCGCAAGCCUGACCCAGCAACGCCGCGUGAAGGAAGAAGGCUUUCGGGUUGUAAACUUCUUUUACCAGGGACGAAACAAAUGACGGUACCUGGUGAAUAAGCCACGGCUAACUACGUGCCAGCAGCCGCGGUAAUACGUAGGUGGCGAGCGUUAUCCGGAUUUCUUGGGUGUAAAGGGCGUGUAGGCGGGACAGCAAGUCAGAUGUGAAAACCAGAGGCUCAACCUCUGGCCUGCAUUUGAAACUGUUGUUCUUGAGUGUCGGAGAGGUAAUCGGAAUUCCGUGUGUAGCGGUGAAAUGCGUAGAUAUACGGAGGAACACCAGUGGCGAAGGCGGAUUACUGGACGAUAACUGACGCUGAGGCGCGAAAGCGUGGGGAGCAAACAGGAUUAGAAACCCGGGUAGUCC